This 229-nucleotide small RNA is filed under the name Myotis lucifugus (little brown bat). RNAcentral's name for it is "Metazoan signal recognition particle RNA (ENSMLUG00000022491.1)". The stretch from base 66 to 198 matches the Rfam family "Metazoan signal recognition particle RNA", at positions 109 to 242 of the family's 299-position model. From Rfam's summary of the family: The signal recognition particle (SRP) is a universally conserved ribonucleoprotein. It is involved in the co-translational targeting of proteins to membranes. The eukaryotic SRP consists of a 300-nucleotide 7S RNA and six proteins: SRPs 72, 68, 54, 19, 14, and 9. Lineage: Eukaryota; Metazoa; Chordata; Mammalia; Chiroptera; Vespertilionidae. The record is from RNAcentral.
CUCUUUCUUUUUUUGUCACUUGAGCCUAGGAGUUCAGGGCUGUAGUGCACUAUGCCAAUCAGGUGUCCACACUAAGUUCACAUCAAUAUGGUGACCUCCCGGGAGCAGGGGACCACCAGGUUGCCUAAGGAGGAGUGAACCGGCCCAGGUCAGAAACGGAGCAGGUCAAAACUCCUGUGCUGAUCAGCAGUGGGAGAGGAGAGGAUAGAGGAGAAAGGUCCCCAUAGCC